RNAcentral lists this ribosomal RNA (401 nucleotides) under uncultured bacterium. RNAcentral's name for it is "bacterial SSU rRNA". It matches the Rfam family "Bacterial small subunit ribosomal RNA", at positions 29 to 477 of the family's 1533-position model. The record is from RNAcentral.
AACGAACGCUGGCGGCAGGCUUAACACAUGCAAGUCGAGCGCCCCGCAAGGGGAGCGGCAGACGGGUGAGUAACGCGUGGGAACGUACCUUUUGCUACGGAAUAACUCAGGGAAACUUGUGCUAAUACCGUAUGUGCCCUUCGGGGGAAAGAUUUAUCGGCAAAGGAUCGGCCCGCGUUGGAUUAGCUAGUUGGUGAGGUAAAGGCUCACCAAGGCGACGAUCCAUAGCUGGUCUGAGAGGAUGAUCAGCCACACUGGGACUGAGACACGGCCCAGACUCCUACGGGAGGCAGCAGUGGGGAAUAUUGGACAAUGGGCGCAAGCCUGAUCCAGCCAUGCCGCGUGAGUGAUGAAGGCCCUAGGGUUGUAAAGCUCUUUCACCGGUGAAGAUAAUGACGGUA